RNAcentral lists this ribosomal RNA (1939 nucleotides) under Escherichia coli. RNAcentral describes it as "partial 23S ribosomal RNA". It matches the Rfam family "Bacterial large subunit ribosomal RNA", at positions 252 to 2215 of the family's 2925-position model. The record is from RNAcentral. Lineage: Bacteria; Pseudomonadati; Pseudomonadota; Gammaproteobacteria; Enterobacterales; Enterobacteriaceae.
AGCGAACGGGGAGCAGCCCAGAGCCUGAAUCAGUGUGUGUGUUAGUGGAAGCGUCUGGAAAGGCGCGCGAUACAGGGUGACAGCCCCGUACACAAAAAUGCACAUACUGUGAGCUCGAUGAGUAGGGCGGGACACGUGGUAUCCUGUCUGAAUAUGGGGGGACCAUCCUCCAAGGCUAAAUACUCCUGACUGACCGAUAGUGAACCAGUACCGUGAGGGAAAGGCGAAAAGAACCCCGGCGAGGGGAGUGAAAAAGAACCUGAAACCGUGUACGUACAAGCAGUGGGAGCCUCUUUAUGGGGUGACUGCGUACCUUUUGUAUAAUGGGUCAGCGACUUAUAUUCUGUAGCAAGGUUAACCGAAUAGGGGAGCCGAAGGGAAACCGAGUCUUAACUGGGCGUUAAGUUGCAGGGUAUAGACCCGAAACCCGGUGAUCUAGCCAUGGGCAGGUUGAAGGUUGGGUAACACUAACUGGAGGACCGAACCGACUAAUGUUGAAAAAUUAGCGGAUGACUUGUGGCUGGGGGUGAAAGGCCAAUCAAACCGGGAGAUAGCUGGUUCUCCCCGAAAGCUAUUUAGGUAGCGCCUCGUGAAUUCAUCUCCGGGGGUAGAGCACUGUUUCGGCAAGGGGGUCAUCCCGACUUACCAACCCGAUGCAAACUGCGAAUACCGGAGAAUGUUAUCACGGGAGACACACGGCGGGUGCUAACGUCCGUCGUGAAGAGGGAAACAACCCAGACCGCCAGCUAAGGUCCCAAAGUCAUGGUUAAGUGGGAAACGAUGUGGGAAGGCCCAGACAGCCAGGAUGUUGGCUUAGAAGCAGCCAUCAUUUAAAGAAAGCGUAAUAGCUCACUGGUCGAGUCGGCCUGCGCGGAAGAUGUAACGGGGCUAAACCAUGCACCGAAGCUGCGGCAGCGACACUAUGUGUUGUUGGGUAGGGGAGCGUUCUGUAAGCCUGUGAAGGUGUGCUGUGAGGUAUGCUGGAGGUAUCAGAAGUGCGAAUGCUGACAUAAGUAACGAUAAAGCGGGUGAAAAGCCCGCUCGCCGGAAGACCAAGGGUUCCUGUCCAACGUUAAUCGGGGCAGGGUGAGUCGACCCCUAAGGCGAGGCCGAAAGGCGUAGUCGAUGGGAAACAGGUUAAUAUUCCUGUACUUGGUGUUACUGCGAAGGGGGGACGGAGAAGGCUAUGUUGGCCGGGCGACGGUUGUCCCGGUUUAAGCGUGUAGGCUGGUUUUCCAGGCAAAUCCGGAAAAUCAAGGCUGAGGCGUGAUGACGAGGCACUACGGUGCUGAAGCAACAAAUGCCCUGCUUCCAGGAAAAGCCUCUAAGCAUCAGGUAACAUCAAAUCGUACCCCAAACCGACACAGGUGGUCAGGUAGAGAAUACCAAGGCGCUUGAGAGAACUCGGGUGAAGGAACUAGGCAAAAUGGUGCCGUAACUUCGGGAGAAGGCACGCUGAUAUGUAGGUGAAGUCCCUUGCGGAUGGAGCUGAAAUCAGUCGAAGAUACCAGCUGGCUGCAACUGUUUAUUAAAAACACAGCACUGUGCAAACACGAAAGUGGACGUAUACGGUGUGACGCCUGCCCGGUGCCGGAAGGUUAAUUGAUGGGGUUAGCGGUAACGCGAAGCUCUUGAUCGAAGCCCCGGUAAACGGCGGCCGUAACUAUAACGGUCCUAAGGUAGCGAAAUUCCUUGUCGGGUAAGUUCCGACCUGCACGAAUGGCGUAAUGAUGGCCAGGCUGUCUCCACCCGAGACUCAGUGAAAUUGAACUCGCUGUGAAGAUGCAGUGUACCCGCGGCAAGACGGAAAGACCCCGUGAACCUUUACUAUAGCUUGACACUGAACAUUGAGCCUUGAUGUGUAGGAUAGGUGGGAGGCUUUGAAGUGUGGACGCCAGUCUGCAUGGAGCCGACCUUGAAAUACCACCCUUUAAUGUUU